UGAGUGGCGAAGGGGUGAGUAACACGUGGGAAACCUGCCCAGAAGCGGGGGAUAACACCUGGAAACAGAUGCUAAUACCGCAUAACAACUUGGACCGCAGGGUCCGAGUUUGAAAGAUGGCUUCGGCUAUCACUUUUGGAUGGUCCCGCGGCGUAUUAGCUAGAUGGUGGGGUAACGGCUCACCAUGGCAAUGAUACGUAGCCGACCUGAGAGGGUAAUCGGCCACAUUGGGACUGAGACACGGCCCAAACUCCUACGGGAGGCAGCAGUAGGGAAUCUUCCACAAUGGACGAAAGUCUGAUGGAGCAACGCCGCGUGAGUGAAGAAGGGUUUCGGCUCGUAAAACUCUGUUGUUAAAGAAGAACAUAUCUGAGAGUAACUGUUCAGGUAUUGACGGUAUUUAACCAGAAAGCCACGGCUAACUACGUGCCAGCAGCCGCGGUAAUACGUAGGUGGCAAGCGUUGUCCGGAUUUAUUGGGCGUAAAGCGAGCGCAGGCGGUUUUUUAAGUCUGAUGUGAAAGCCUUCGGCUCAACCGAAGAAGUGCAUCGGAAACUGGGAAACUUGAGUGCAGAAGAGGACAGUGGAACUCCAUGUGUAGCGGUGAAAUGCGUAGAUAUAUGGAAGAACACCAGUGGCGAAGGCGGCUGUCUGGUCUGUAACUGACGCUGAGGCUCGAAAGUAUGGGUAGCAAACAGGAUUAGAUACCCUGGUAGUCCAUACCGUAAACGAUGAAUGCUAAGUGUUGGAGGGUUUCCGCCCUUCAGUGCUGCAGCUAACGCAUUAAGCAUUCCGCCUGGGGAGUACGGCCGCAAGGCUGAAACUCAAAGGAAUUGACGGGGGCCCGCACAAGCGGUGGAGCAUGUGGUUUAAUUCGAAGCUACGCGAAGAACCUUACCAGGUCUUGACAUACUAUGCAAAUCUAAGAGAUU
This 931-nucleotide ribosomal RNA is filed under the name Lactiplantibacillus plantarum. RNAcentral's name for it is "bacterial SSU rRNA". It matches the Rfam family "Bacterial small subunit ribosomal RNA", at positions 92 to 1008 of the family's 1533-position model. The record is from RNAcentral. Lineage: Bacteria; Bacillati; Bacillota; Bacilli; Lactobacillales; Lactobacillaceae.